Neopelma chrysocephalum (saffron-crested tyrant-manakin) is the source of this 671-nucleotide long non-coding RNA. RefSeq lists it as uncharacterized. The record is from RefSeq and is a predicted model, not a curated record. The transcript has 3 exons. Lineage: Eukaryota; Metazoa; Chordata; Aves; Passeriformes; Pipridae.
GGAAUAUCCUGGCCAUCUAGGCAACAUCUCUUUCUAGAAUACUGAACUCUUAUGUUUGGUUUACUUGCUAUUCUCCCCCACACUGCAAGUGCUGCUGUAAGCUGAACCACUGGGAAAAUUUCCAAGGAAUAAUGGGAGGAAUUCUCAAGGACAAAAUGAGGACAGCACAAGGCUGAAAUUUAUCCCAGUGAGGCUGCAAAGGAUGUGGAAGGAAAGCUACAGAUGGCAGGUCAGCUCUUGGACAGGAGAGCAGUAGGGCACCAACACAAGUGGGGCAGGAAGGGGAAGCAAAGAGUCUGUCCCUCUGUGGCUUGAGUGGCUCUGUCACAAAAGGACAGUGGUGCAAACUGAGCAAGCAACGACGACCUGAUGGUUGAGGACCCCCCUCCAGUGCCUUUCAGUGCAUUCCUCCAGCCUGCAGGACCAAGCACAGCCCUGACCUGAUGAGCUGCUUCUCAUCCAGAAGUAAUAAAACCAAAGAUUAAGAGGGAAGAGAGAGCCAAUUCAGUGCAGGUAAAGAAGUGGUUACUAUAGCAACUGUUUUCUUUUUUGAUCAUAGGUUGGGAGGACUCCCUUGCAAGGGGAUUUCUGUGCAGUCUCCAGGCUGGAAGGGGAAGUUGCUUCAAGAAUCUUGUUUGACAAAGGCUGCAUGGCUGCACUCUUGAACUCUG